RNAcentral lists this ribosomal RNA (596 nucleotides) under uncultured bacterium. RNAcentral describes it as "bacterial SSU rRNA". It matches the Rfam family "Bacterial small subunit ribosomal RNA", at positions 112 to 704 of the family's 1533-position model. The record is from RNAcentral.
AAUGCUUAGGAAUCUGCCUAUUAGUGGGGGACAACAUUCCGAAAGGAAUGCUAAUACCGCAUACGCCCUACGGGGGAAAGCAGGGGAUCUUCGGACCUUGCGCUAAUAGAUGAGCCUAAGUCAGAUUAGCUAGUUGGUGGGGUAAAGGCCUACCAAGGCGACGAUCUGUAGCGGGUCUGAGAGGAUGAUCCGCCACACUGGGACUGAGACACGGCCCAGACUCCUACGGGAGGCAGCAGUGGGGAAUAUUGGACAAUGGGCGCAAGCCUGAUCCAGCCAUGCCGCGUGCAGGAUGAAGGCCUUCGGGUUGUAAACUGCUUUUGUACGGAACGAAAAGACUCUGGUUAAUACCUGGGGUCCAUGACGGUACCGUAAGAAUAAGCACCGGCUAACUACGUGCCAGCAGCCGCGGUAAUACGUAGGGUGCGAGCGUUAAUCGGAAUUACUGGGCGUAAAGCGUGCGCAGGCGGUUAUAUAAGACAGGCGUGAAAUCCCCGGGCUUAACCUGGGAAUUGCGCUUGUGACUGCAAGGCUGGAGUGCGGCAGAGGGGGAUGGAAUUCCGCGUGUAGCAGUGAAAUGCGUAGAUAUGCGGAGG